Molecule: transfer RNA, 21 nt
Filed under: Triticum monococcum (einkorn wheat)
Lineage: Eukaryota; Viridiplantae; Streptophyta; Magnoliopsida; Poales; Poaceae
Description: partial tRNA-Lys
Source: RNAcentral
UUUUAUCUGGGUUGCUAACUC